RNAcentral lists this ribosomal RNA (245 nucleotides) under uncultured bacterium. Its description in RNAcentral is "partial small subunit ribosomal RNA". It matches the Rfam family "Bacterial small subunit ribosomal RNA", at positions 241 to 501 of the family's 1533-position model. The record is from RNAcentral.
UCAGCUUGUUGGUGGGGUAACGGCCUACCAAGGCGACGACGGGUAGCCGGCCUGAAAGGGCGAACCGGCCACACUGGGACUGAGACACGGCCCAGACUCCUACGGGAGGCAGCAGUGGGGAAUAUUGCGCAAUGGGCGAAAGCCUGACGCAGCGACGCCGCGUGGGGGAUGAAGGCCUUCGGGUUGUAAACCUCUUUCGGCAGGGACGAAGUUGACGUGUACCUGCGGAAGAAGCGCCGGCUAAC